Molecule: long non-coding RNA, 1447 nt
Organism: Coregonus clupeaformis (lake whitefish)
Lineage: Eukaryota; Metazoa; Chordata; Actinopteri; Salmoniformes; Salmonidae
Exons: 4
Source: RefSeq, a predicted model, not a curated record
AGCUAAACAGGUGGGGCUCUUCCCUGAAUGACUGGUCUCCACUGUUUGUUUAUAUUCUUCUGUCACGUUAAUCUCUAGCAACAUCAAUCCGUUGAACUGGUUGUUCCCAUAUAGAGUACUGAUUUUCAAAUCACUUGCUUGCCCUGCAUGAUUUCGGGAAAACUAGCCAACAGGGCGUAGUAAUAACACUACAACACUAAAUGUAGUAAUGAUGAAUUGUCCCAGUGUCAUUCUUACCUGAAACAAAUGUCCAGUCUUUCAACCGGUAUCUUCUUGUCUUUAUCUACACAAUAGCCAUGAUCAUUUGUCCUCUGUAUGGUGCUACCCCCGCCAUGGGGAACUUUAAUGAACUUCUGUUUGUACCACAGCACUGUAAUGCAACGCACGAUUUGAAAAUAUUGAACGCGUGCUGUAUACAGAACGCACGGCAGCCUAGUGUGGCAUCCUAAACAUAGUGUUGCGAAGUGCUCCAUUGGCAAUGAAUGACUUCAGCCGAACGCAAAUAGUUUGACGCAACUGGUUGAUAUGAUGCUUGAGGCACUACUGGCUAACGGUAGCUAGCUAGUCCACUGGCACUGGCUAGCUACCUUCACAACAAGACAUCGUGGAACCGCUUUAGGAGUUCCAGAUUUGGCUGCAGGAGGGUGGGCGGCGUUUGCACCGGGUUAAAGUGAUUGUUUUGAAAACCGGCCUGCCUCUCGGGCGUGAGCCUGGUGCCCCAUUCAAAGCCCACGGCGAUGUCGGCUCAAAACAAAGUGAGGAAACUAUGACGUCAUUGCUGUGUACGGGCAACCCCAGCAGCUCCUCCAGCAGACACGCCCCCCUUCUGUCUGCUGACCAAGCUGCCCACCAUCAGACAGGCGGUUCUGGCUGAUGACCAUAGCUGAUAGAAACCGAGAAGGAAUAUCAUCCCCAAUGAUACUACUAAUAUUUCUAACUGUACUGAUGAGGAAGAGGAGGGCAGACUUAUCCAUUGUCGCUGAACUGCUUGAAGUGUUCAGUCAAAAUUACAGUUACCACUAGUCACAUGUUCAGAAAGAUGUUAGGCAAAAAUAAUAACAAUACAGAACUGUUUUUGCUCUUCAAUUCGCUUCUGCCAAUCAUAUGUUCGAAACCAUUAUCAAGGAAACCUACAGUAGUUAAACUCUUUGCGUAGAUAGUAACCUGUUUGUUGGACACCAGUGAUUCUAAGAACAAGAAUAACUGUUACCUGUAGGACAAUGUCUCUAUCACAGGUCACCAAGGGCACAGUAAGGUAUAUCCUUAAUAAAAUAAUUUGUGAUGUUUAAUUGGGCAUGCCUCUCAUUUUCCAGUCGACAUGGAACAACUCAAUAUGCAUUAUAGUCAUACCUAUGGCUUGCAUAACCAACCAUCUCCCUGAGAUUUGAAAGUUGGACUGUUCAGUCCCUGGCCGAGUCAUACCAAAGACUGUAAAAAUGGGACUUGU